Molecule: ribosomal RNA, 279 nt
Filed under: uncultured bacterium
Lineage: Bacteria
Description: partial 16S ribosomal RNA
Rfam family: Bacterial small subunit ribosomal RNA
Source: RNAcentral
UGCCAGCCGCCGCGGUAAUACAGAGGGUGCGAGCGUUAAUCGGAAUUACUGGGCGUAAAGGGCGCGUAGGCGGCCCGAUAAGUCGGAUGUGAAAGCCCCGGGCUCAACCUGGGAACUGCAUUCGAUACUGCCAAGCUAGAGUAUGGAAGAGGGAAGUGGAAUUCCGGGUGUAGCGGUGAAAUGCGUAGAUAUCCGGAGGAACACCAGUGGCGAAGGCGACUUCCUGGGCCAAUACUGACGCUGAGGCGCGAAAGCGUGGGGAGCAAACAGGAUUAGAUA